AGCGAACGCUGGCGGCAUGCUUAACACAUGCAAGUUGCACGGACUUUUCGGAGUUAGUGGCGGACGGGUGAGUAACGCGUAGGAACCUGACCAUGGGUGGGGGAUAACACUGGGAAACUGGUGCUAAUACCGCAUGAUACCUGAGGGUUAAAGGCUUUUGUUGCCUGUGGAGGGGCCUGCGUUUGAUUAGCUAGUUGGUUGGGUAAAGGCUGACCAAGGCGAUGAUCGAUAGCUGGUUUGAGAGGAUGAUCAGCCACACUGGGACUGAGACACGGCCCAGACUCCUACGGGAGGCAGCAGUGGGGAAUAUUGGACAAUGGGGGCAACCCUGAUCCAGCAAUGCCGCGUGUGUGAAGAAGGUUUUCGGAUUGUAAAGCACUUUCGUUGGGGAAGAUGAUGACGGUACCCAAAGAAGAAGCCCCGGCUAACUUCGUGCCAGCAGCCGCGGUAAUACGAAGGGGGCAAGCGUUGCUCGGAAUGACUGGGCGUAAAGGGCGUGUAGGCGGUUUAUACAGUUAGAUGUGAAAUCCUUGGGCUUAACCUGAGAACUGCAUUUAAGACGUAUAGACUAGAGUUCGAGAGAGGAUUGUGGAAUUCCCAGUGUAGAGGUGAAAUUCGUAGAUAUUGGGAAGAACACCGGUUGCGAAGGCGGCAAUCUGGCUCGAUACUGACGCUGAGGCGCGAAAGCGUGGGGAGCGAACAGGAUUAGAUACCCUGGUAGUCCACGCUGUAAACGAUGUGUGCUGGGUGUUGGGGGACUUAGUCUUUCAGUGCCGGAGC
Molecule: ribosomal RNA, 780 nt
Filed under: uncultured bacterium
Lineage: Bacteria
Description: bacterial SSU rRNA
Rfam family: Bacterial small subunit ribosomal RNA
Source: RNAcentral